CAGUAGCCGCGGUAAUACGUAGGUGGCAAGCAUCGUCCGGAAUUAUUGGGCGUAAAGGGCUCGCAGGCGGUUUCUUAAGUCUGAUGUGAAAGCCCCCGGCUCAACCGGGGAGAGUCAUUGGAAACUGGGAAACUUGGGUGCAGAAGAGGAGAGUGGAAUUCCACGUGUAGCGGUGAAAUGCGUAGAGAUGUGGAGGAACACCAACGGCGAAAGCACUCUGCUGGGCCGACACUGACACUGAGAGACGAAAGCUAGGGGAGCAAAUGGGAUUAGAUACCCCCGUAGUCCCUGUCUCUUAUAC
This 301-nucleotide ribosomal RNA is filed under the name uncultured bacterium. RNAcentral describes it as "partial 16S ribosomal RNA". It matches the Rfam family "Bacterial small subunit ribosomal RNA", at positions 509 to 807 of the family's 1533-position model. The record is from RNAcentral.